AACGAGCGCUGGCGGCAUGCCUAACACAUGCAAGUCGAACGAGAUCUUCGGAUCUAGUGGCGCACGGGUGCGUAACGCGUGGGAAUCUGCCCCUUGCUUCGGAAUAACAGUGAGAAAUUACUGCUAAUACCGGAUGAUGUCUUCGGACCAAAGAUUUAUCGGCAAGGGAUGAGCCCGCGUAGGAUUAGGUAGUUGGUGGGGUAAUGGCCUACCAAGCCGACGAUCCUUAGCUGGUCUGAGAGGAUGAUCAGCCACACUGGGACUGAGACACGGCCCAGACUCCUACGGGAGGCAGCAGUGGGGAAUAUUGGACAAUGGGCGAAAGCCUGAUCCAGCAAUGCCGCGUGAGUGAUGAAGGCCUUAGGGUUGUAAAGCUCUUUUACCAGGGAUGAUAAUGACAGUACCUGGAGAAUAAGCUCCGGCUAACUCCGUG
Molecule: ribosomal RNA, 433 nt
Filed under: uncultured bacterium
Lineage: Bacteria
Description: partial 16S ribosomal RNA
Rfam family: Bacterial small subunit ribosomal RNA
Source: RNAcentral